Coregonus clupeaformis (lake whitefish) is the source of this 1019-nucleotide long non-coding RNA. RefSeq lists it as uncharacterized. The record is from RefSeq and is a predicted model, not a curated record. The transcript is spliced from 2 exons. NCBI's taxonomy places the organism in Eukaryota, Metazoa, Chordata, Actinopteri, Salmoniformes, Salmonidae.
UCCAACCUCCCACAUGAAAUUAUCCUUUUAAAGCGGGCUCAAUAUGUCUCAAUCUGCACUGCACUUCACUCUAAGCUUUUGGGUAUAGUCUAUGGGACAGAGCCCAAAAUAUAUAUUAACUAAAGCGAGAUGUUGUGUCGAACUUAAAUAUUUCAGACUUUAUGACUGUGAAGAGAGGCUGCUCAGAGAAGCUGAAACAGCAACGACUAUGAUGCUCUACGAAAAAAAGAGCGAUCGAUGCCAAGGCUCUCCCAUUUUCACUUCGAACCGGAGCUGAACUCCGGAGUGCCGCGAACUGCUACGCCCGAUCCCAGCGCCGGGGUCAGCGGAAGUGGCGUCUCCUUUUCGAUAUGCAGAUGAGCCGGGUCCCUCCGAUGUCUCCCGGCGUCCGGGCCUCGAUAGCUAACAGCCUUUUACUGCCUUCGCCCACUCCUCCAGUAAUAAGUAGAGUGUGUGGAAGCUAAUGGAUGUUGUCAGUGGUGUGUUCUGAGCGCUGAUUUAGAGGGAACCCACCAGCCAGGCUUCUCUCAGAGUUAGCCUGACCACUGGACUACCUGGGUGAGGAGUGGGAAAGAGGAGGACAGUUAGCUUACUCACGCUUCAAAUCACAUUUAUAUCCUUAAAAGAUGUGGGGAUAGAUUAAAUGUCAUGGUGCUGUGUGGAAAGUGAAUUCUGUCCUAUAAACAGGACUCGCCUUUUUCCUCCCUCUACCAGUUUCGGUUGUGUAAAAGUUCAUUGAAAUUAAUUGAAAGCUUUUUCAUGAGCCACUGAAUUCAGUGCUCAGGUCACAGGGGCUCGAAAAUAUACUGGUGGAAACUGAAAACCUCUCCCAGAUUCAUUAGUUUAUUUGUAUUUUACAUUACUAUUCCGGUUUCAUUGUGAAAAUGCAAAAAGUAGGCAAAUUAAAAUGUUGCGCAGUGGCUCAGAUUUGUAUACUUCUUGAGAUGUGCUGUUUUCAUAAUGCUGGACAUACAUUAAUAUAUGCUUAUUAUAUUAAUAUAUACCCCUCCAAGCCACUC